CCAGACUCCCACGGGAGGCAGCAGUAGGGAAUAUUGCUCAAUGGGGGAAACCAUGAAGCAGCAACGACGCGUGGAGGAUGAAGGUUUUCGGAUUGUAAACUCCUUUUGUUAGAGAAGAUAAUGACGGUAUCUAACGAAUAAGCACCGGCUAAAUGUGUGCCAGCAGAAGAGGUAAUACGGAGGGUGCAAGCGUUACUCGGAAUCACUGGGCGUAAAGAGCGCGUAGGCGGGAUAGCAAGUCAGAUGUGAAAUCCUAUGGCUUAACCAUAGAACUACAUUUGAAACUGUUAUUCUAGAGUAUGGGAUAUGUAGGUGGAGUUCUUGGUGUAGGGGUAAAGUCCGUAGAGAUCAAGAGGAAUACUCGUUGCGAAGGCGACCUGCUAGAACAUAACUGACGCUGAUGCGCGAAAGCGUGGGGAGCAAACAGGAUUAGAUACCCUAGUA
This 444-nucleotide ribosomal RNA is filed under the name uncultured bacterium. Its description in RNAcentral is "partial 16S ribosomal RNA". It matches the Rfam family "Bacterial small subunit ribosomal RNA", at positions 331 to 792 of the family's 1533-position model. The record is from RNAcentral.